AGUGAACGCUGGCGGUAGGCCUAACACAUGCAAGUCGAACGGCAGCACAGUAAGAGCUUGCCCUUACGGGUAGCGAGUGGCGGACGGGUGAGGAAUACAUCGGAAUCUACUUUUUCGUGGGGGAUAACGUAGGGAAACUUACGCUAAUACCGCAUACGACCUACGGGUGAAAGCAGGGGAUCUUCGGACCUUGCGCGAUUGAAUGAGCCGAUGUCGGAUUAGCUAGUUGGCGGGGUAAAGGCCCACCAAGGCGACGAUCCGUAGCUGGUCUGAGAGGAUGAUCAGCCACACUGGAACUGAGACACGGUCCAGACUCCUACGGGAGGCAGCAGUGGGGAAUAUUGGACAAUGGGCGCAAGCCUGAUCCAGCCAUACCGCGUGGGUGAAGAAGGCCUUCGGGUUGUAAAGCCCUUUUGUUGGGAAAGAAAAGCAGCAGGUUAAUACCCCGCUGUUCUGACGGUACCCAAAGAAUAAGCACCGGCUAACUUCGUG
Molecule: ribosomal RNA, 492 nt
Filed under: uncultured bacterium
Lineage: Bacteria
Description: partial 16S ribosomal RNA
Rfam family: Bacterial small subunit ribosomal RNA
Source: RNAcentral